GCCAAGGAUGUUUUCAUUAAUCAAGAACGAAAGUUAGGGGAUCGAAGACGAUCAGAUACCGUCGUAGUCUUAACCAUAAACGAUGCCGACCAGCGAUUAGGAGACGUUGAAUACAAAACACCACCAUCGGUGCGGUCGUCCUUGGCGUCUCGGUCCUUCACGGGGCCGGGGCGCGGGGGUGGCUUAGCCCGGUGGCACCGGUGAAUGACUCCCCUAGCAGCUUGUGAGAA
RNAcentral lists this ribosomal RNA (230 nucleotides) under Acanthamoeba sp. 07031b/T4. RNAcentral describes it as "partial 18S ribosomal RNA". It matches the Rfam family "Eukaryotic small subunit ribosomal RNA", at positions 957 to 1096 of the family's 1831-position model. RNAcentral also lists the same sequence under 1 other name. Lineage: Eukaryota; Discosea; Longamoebia; Acanthamoebidae. The record is from RNAcentral.